GGGAGGCCGCUUGGACUGAGGAGGCUGUGGGGCUUCGAGCCGCUCUGGGUUCUCAGAGGCUUCUGGAUGACUCUAGCAUCUUGGAGGGCAGUGACAAGCUGCAAAGCACUGUCAGGCGCCUCAGUGCUCCAGGCUGACUCCUGCACCCGGAAGGUUCUCCGCCCCUGAGAUCACUCACUGCUAAGGACGGGAGGAGCCUGCUCAGAAGACACGGUCUGCACUCCGCUGAGGGGUUGGAGGUGCAGGCCAAGCGGACACCACCUGGCAGAUGGGCAGCCCUGGCAUGGCAGGGCCUAGGGGGUCGCCCUUGGGAAGCCUCAAGCAAGAGCAGAUGCCAGCUAGGACAUGCCAGGGGUACACUGACACUCUUGGGCACACUGCAGAGUACAGCCUUUCCUGGUAUUACUCUCCUCACCACCAAGUUCCCUAGGGCCACAGAUGUCCUGGCCACGGGGGUUGAGGCAGACCAGAUGUCUGUUCCUGGCCAUGACGCUUCAUGCCAGAAGGAUGGAACAAGCACAGUCCUUUGCUGACAGAGCCCUGGAACCCUUGAUUUUGGAACUGAGAGGGAGGCAGGGCUAAGAGGGAGAGAAGCCAGGCAUUUCUCCAGAAGGAAAUGCCUGUAAGAGCAUCUGCGGCUGGAGGGGCCUAUGCCAUGCCCUGGGAGGUUGACUGGCAUAUGGCUGACCUGGCCUGCCCAAGCCACAUGCCUGCAAAGCGCUCCUCUCCUGGUGCCAGGCCCACAGGGAAGCCAGUAAUCCGGACAUUCUGAUGCUACUCUGGGCAGCCCCAAGGCCUGUCUGGCUUCCUGCCUGGGAAGCAGCCCAGUGCCCUGGAAGAGCAGCCAGAGAGAGCAUGCUGAAGUGGGACCUCAGUCAGGGGCUGCCUCUUCUAAGCCUGUUUCCUCAUGUGUAAAUAAAAAUUCAUCACAUAAAUGUGAGGUCACCGGAGCCACAUCAAGGAGAGUGGUGGAGAUGGUUGGUUCCUUCUCACUGUGUGCACGGAACAUGCUUUGCAUCAGCCGCUGCAGAGGGAAGUAGCCCCAUCGACUUCCAGAGGCCCCACUAGAAACCAGUCCACCUCCUUCUUCCAUGUGCCUUACACACGCCUGGCCUCAGCGCUCCCCUCUGUGUGCUGUUCAUCCCCUCCCACCAGACCAAGGUGGCCUUCAUGUGACUCCAGGACUUCUCAAGCCAACUCAGUACCUAGAGUAGUGCCUGGCAAACGGGAGGUGGUGCCUGCACAAAUCAAAGACCUCUUUAGGCCCAAAGAUCCUACACUUCCACAGCAACCGGCUCUCUAAGCCCUUGGCAGGUGAGCAGUUGCUCAACCCACGCUGGCUCCCCACCCAUGGGAGCCCACGCAUCCCUGCUAGAACCGGAGCAGAGUCCUUUAGUCCACCUCCUGGUUGAAGGGCGUCCUCUGGGCAAGAAGAGGAACCACACAAGGUUUACUGAGCACCUGCUCUCAUCUGGACAAGACAAUCCCUUGUUCACAGAGCCUUCCCAAAUACGUUAUCAACUAUGCUGUGGUAGAACCUAAGGAGAAAAAACAGUGCAAGAGUAUGAGGAAGGGGAUAAGCUUUAAACAGCAGCCGUUCACCUCGCUGAGGAGGCUGCGACGAAGCAAUGCCCUGAAAGGGGGAUGCGGGCGGGGUAUUCCAGGCAGGGGCAAAGCAGACGCAAAGGCUCUUUGGCAGGAUGGAACAGGGAGGUAGGUAAGGCCCUUGACUUCCACUUGGGGGGACAGGGAACCACGGAGAAGGGGCCUGGCCUGUCUUUACUGUGGUUGCCACGCUGCGAAGAGACUGGGGGGUGGGAGAGAGCGCAAGGGUGGAAGCAGAGAUCUUGGCUGGGAGACGGUGCUGGUGACUGGGCCACAGAGACAGCGGGGAGCUGGGAAGCGGUCAGCCGUGGGACACGUGGGAGGCGCAGGCGGCAGGACGCGCAGGCCUUGGAGCCCGGGCAGCAGCCGGAACGCGGAGCCCCGGGCCAGGUGGCUCCAGACCGCGCACACGCCCGCCAGCCGCUUCGAGUCCUCCAUGUCCCGCUUCACCGGCCACCCGGCCCAUGGGUGCCGCCGCGGACAGAGACUCCCACCCGCAGUCUGCGCGGGGCGAACAGGACGCAACCGAGGCCCUCAGAGGCCAGGCCCCGCCCUCAUGCCCCCUGCACCUGACACCGAGGAAGCCCCAGAGGAGGACUCUCGCGAGAUGUCUCAAACCUCUUCGCUCUCAGGGCUUCCCCAAUCGGCAAGCGGCUGGCUGAGUUGCCACGACAACCCGGACCUGCGUCUUUAUGGUCGCGUUGGCCUUGGCACCCCAGCAAGAAAAUGAAAAAAGAAAAAAGAAAGCAAGAAUACCAGUAGAAAUAGUGCAUUUCCAGAACUGCUGAUGGGAGGUGGCAGGUCCCAUGGUUUUGACCCAUUUGAUACCCAAAAGGCUGCAGAUCAUAUGAAAAAUGUACAGCUUUGGUUAGCAAAUAAUGAAAAACCCACUGUGCACAGAAGCGAUAGAUUCCCGUCGUUGGCGGAAUAAAUUUACGUGCUGUUUGAAGAGACAAAACCACGACUCCUUCCAGCCACACGGUGGUGGCGCCGAGGUCACAGAGUCCUCCAUCCUCACGGCUUCUAACCAGGUUGGAAGUGACAUCCAAACCCUCGGCCCAUCCCCCAUCACCGAUCUGCUCCCAGACAAAGGGCCCACCCAGAGCAGCCUUUCGGGCCUCCUGGUCCCCAGCGCACCUUCAGAACAGGUGGGCCCUCGCUGGAGCUUGCUGCAAGGACUUCGGACCUCAUGCCAAGCCUCUCCCCUGCCCUCGCUGCCACAAGACACCCCUUGGUCUCAGGUCCCAGGGCUGGUGACAAAGAGAUCUUUGCGGUCUUACAAAAUAAACUGGGAAUCUACAAAAGGAAAAGAAAGCAUACAAAAUGUAUCUCUUUCUUCCAAAAUACAAGCUUUCAGUCCGACGUUUUGGUGGAGCCUGAAAGUGUUUCCAAGGGAGAUAUAGGUUGAGAUAAUUUAUAGGUUUGUCCUAUUCUUUCAUAAAAAUACUCUUGUUUGGUAAUAAACUUUGUCUUCUACAGUAAGAGAAAUAAUACUGUGUUAUCAAAAGCAAGAAGGCUUUACGAUUCAAGUGGGAUCGAAGCCCCCAGGCCCUGGGGCCCUCCGUGGCAGCUCUCCCACCCCAGACCCCCAGGGAGCUGUCGGACACCAGCUCGGCAAAAGCAACACUGUCUCAACAGUGCUUUUUUAUCUUCUUAUUUUAUAAAACGGCUUACCUGAGAGAGGCAUGUAUUAUUCAGUGCAAGAGGGAACAUCAAUCAGAUUAAGGAGUCAAUGGGAACUAUGUGGAUUAGAUUUGCUGCUCUGUCGUCUGCCUUUCUCGGGCCAGCAAAGUGCCAAGUAUGAACACAGUGAGGGAGCUGAGGACCUUGGCACAGACUCCAGUUAGGGCUAGGGCGAGAGCUAAAAGUCAGCUUCUGUCCCGGGCACCGUGGGUGCGUCAGGGGGCAGGGGAAGGAUGGGGAAGGGGCUGGGAGGCUGAAGGGUCGAAGGCAUAAGCAUCUGGGGUGUGCUCCGCCCUCUCUAGCUAGGGCAGAGGAUGGCUUGUGGUCCUGAACGGACAGCUCCCACCUUGCCACGAGGCGGCGGUGGUCUGGGGUCCGUGUCCGCAGGGGCAGGGGCUGGUGGCAGGUGCCAGCAGGAGCGCACUGGGCACAGGCGCUCUGGGCCCAGCCAAGAAUGGCUCCCAGGUGGCUGGAGUGAGGGUGGGGCUCGACCCAGUCUGGAAAGGUGAUUCCAAGCUCUCGUUCUCCCAACCACGGUAUCACUGGGGCUUGUUCUCAACCUACAUGUUAGAGUCGCUUCUUGGCGUGUUUGGGGUGGGGGGAGAGGGACACUGGCCUCUCUCAGCCCCCUCCAACAACCCUGGCUUACUUACCCAGACAUUUUCGGUAGCUACAUGGGUGGUCACAGAAUACUGGGUGGCACUCAGCACAUGACACAGAACUGGAAAAGUCCAUGCAGGCAGGGGAACACACGUUGGACCGAGGGAGCAAGGAACACGCCACCGCAAGGAACAUGCAAACGGAGAAGGUCCUUGCAGAUCCAAGGAUGCCACAACCCGACGGCGCUGAGGAAGCACAAUUAUCUAAGAAAAAGCCACAGUUGAACAAUGACACGCAGCAUGGCGCCACAUCUACACCCUCUCUGAAAGAGUGAUGCACUGCAGAGCAGCGACCGUACCGUGCAGACGCCCACGAGUACAGCGACACAGACACCGACACAGACACACACACAGAUGCAUUAGGGUUCUGACACGCCGCAGACCUGCACUGGAGGAGGCAGGUGCCCCGGAAGGAGCAGCAGG
RNAcentral lists this long non-coding RNA (4370 nucleotides) under Heterocephalus glaber (naked mole-rat). Its description in RNAcentral is "lncRNA (ENSHGLG00100033319.1)". Lineage: Eukaryota; Metazoa; Chordata; Mammalia; Rodentia; Bathyergidae. The record is from RNAcentral.